GUGGACCUACGGGGCCAUAUAACCACAACGAUCAAUUGAUCGUUUAAAAACGGAAGACAGAAA
Molecule: non-coding RNA, 63 nt
Submitted as: unclassified sequences
Source: Rfam